RNAcentral lists this ribosomal RNA (497 nucleotides) under uncultured bacterium. Its description in RNAcentral is "partial 16S ribosomal RNA". It matches the Rfam family "Bacterial small subunit ribosomal RNA", at positions 28 to 507 of the family's 1533-position model. The record is from RNAcentral.
GAUGAACGCUGGCGGCGUCCCUAAUACAUGCAAGUCGAGCGAACAGACGAGGAGCUUGCUCCUCUGACGUUAGCGGCGGACGGGUGAGUAACACGUGGAUAACCUACCUAUAAGACUGGGAUAACUUCGGGAAACCGGAGCUAAUACCGGAUAAUAUAUUGAACCGCAUGGUUCAAUAGUGAAAGACGGUUUUGCUGUCACUUAUAGAUGGAUCCGCGCCGCAUUAGCUAGUUGGUAAGGUAACGGCUUACCAAGGCAACGAUGCGUAGCCGACCUGAGAGGGUGAUCGGCCACACUGGAACUGAGACACGGUCCAGACUCCUACGGGAGGCAGCAGUAGGGAAUCUUCCGCAAUGGGCGAAGGCCUGACGGAGCAACGCCGCGUGAGUGAUGAAGGUCUUCGGAUCGUAAAACUCUGUUAUUAGGGAAGAACAAAUGUGUAAGUAACUAUGCACGUCUUGACGGUACCUAAUCAGAAAGCCACGGCUAACUACGUG